Molecule: transfer RNA, 74 nt
Filed under: Bacteriophage sp.
Description: tRNA-Lys
Rfam family: tRNA
About the family: Transfer RNA (tRNA) molecules are approximately 80 nucleotides in length.
Source: RNAcentral
UGACCGUUAGCUCAGUUGGUUAGAGCGCCAGACUUUUAAUCUGGAUGUCAUCCGUUCAAAUCGGAUACGGUCAA